RNAcentral lists this ribosomal RNA (264 nucleotides) under uncultured soil bacterium. Its description in RNAcentral is "partial 16S ribosomal RNA". It matches the Rfam family "Bacterial small subunit ribosomal RNA", at positions 26 to 291 of the family's 1533-position model. The record is from RNAcentral.
AGGAUGAACGCUGGCGGCGUGCUUAACACAUGCAAGUCACGGGGGUUUGAGGCGCAAGCCUUGGGCAACCGGCGAACGGGUGCGUAACACGUGAGCAACCUACCGAAAUGAGGGGGAUAGCCGGCCCAACGGCCGGGUAAUACCGCAUACGCUCGAGACCAGGCAUUUGGACUCGAGGAAACCUCCGGGGCAUUUCGAGGGGCUCGCGGCCUAUCAGCUAGUUGGUGAGGUAACGGCUCACCAAGGCGACGACGGGUAGCUGGU